Molecule: long non-coding RNA, 323 nt
Organism: Saccostrea cuccullata (small rock oyster)
Lineage: Eukaryota; Metazoa; Mollusca; Bivalvia; Ostreida; Ostreidae
Exons: 2
Source: RefSeq, a predicted model, not a curated record
AUAUCGAACACACGUAGUUUCAGAAUGGACUCUCAACCCAUUCAGGUUAGCACGGGAUUAUAUGAAAUACCAUGAUUUACUGGGAAAAUGGUAUGGUGAAGAUAUUAAAGCCGAAAAAUUUUAAAGAACAGCACGUGGGUUCUGAAUAGUUUCUUUUUGCGUGUUGAACAAAGACCAAUGAAGACACACCCAUAUAACUGUCAAGUGAACCAAUCAGACACCGUUGAAUUUUUCAGAAAUAGAAGAAUUCUUCACUAUGAAGAAUCAAUUCUUCGCGAGAAAUGGAAGCAUUUGAUUGGCUGAAUAAGUAGGUUAUGUUCUAA